RNAcentral lists this long non-coding RNA (274 nucleotides) under Elaeis guineensis (African oil palm). Its description in RNAcentral is "long non-coding RNA (EGUI_LNC072646)". Lineage: Eukaryota; Viridiplantae; Streptophyta; Magnoliopsida; Arecales; Arecaceae. The record is from RNAcentral.
AUGGCUGAUAUAGAAUCCUACAUGUUUGAGACUCAGUGAUCAAGAAUCAGGAUUCUCUGAUCAUGAGUUCCACACAUUAUGGGUAUCAGGGUCAAGAGUCCCACUGGUUGGGACUUUUCGAUCAGGGUUACAUAUCGAUGAAUUCUGAUGCCUAAUUGCCCAUCGGAUUUGGACUCAGUAUUUAUGAGAGGUUUAAUUAGUGAUUUGAUCAUUAAUUAACUCAAUUUUAUUGAGUAAUUAUUUUUGGAUCAAGUCCAAUUAAAUUGGAUUCAGU